GCCAUUUGUACAAAGUCACCGCUGUUUUAAAAUCCCAGGGCUACGAUUGGAGUGAGCCCUUCAGCCCCGGGGAAGAUGAAUUUAAGUGCCCCAUUAAGGAAGAGAUUGCUCUGACCAGUGGUGAAUGGGAGGUUUUGGCGAGGCACGGCUCCAAGAUCUGGGUCAAUGAGGAGACCAAGCUGGUGUACUUCCAGGGCACCAAGGACACGCCGCUGGAGCACCACCUCUACGUGGUCAGCUAUGAGGCGGCCGGCGAGAUCGUACGCCUCACCACGCCCGGCUUCUCCCACAGCUGCUCCAUGAGCCAGAACUUCGACAUGUUCGUCAGCCACUACAGCAGCGUGAGCACGCCGCCCUGCGUGCACGUCUACAAGCUGAGCGGCCCCGACGACGACCCCCUGCACAAGCAGCCCCGCUUCUGGGCUAGCAUGAUGGAGGCAGCCAGUGAGUAGCCCCUGCCCCGCCCCACGGGAGCCUCUGCCCACCCGGCUGUAAAACGGGACAAGGGCCCCAUUCUGGGGUAAGAGGCAGAGGCCUGGAGCCGGCCUGCUUGGCCUCCCACAGCACCCAGGCCCCUCCAGACAUCCGGGAACUCAUCAUAGGACAUAAGCCGCAGCCCCUGCCGUCCGAGACGGUCCUGGGUCCGAGCUGCAGUAAAGGUCCGGACUGCACAGAACCCGGCAGGGAUGCAGCUCCGUGCCAACCCCCUGCCAAAAUGGUAACCAAUGAGACACAGACCCUGUCACUGAGAGCUCCCAGGGUAGUGGGCAGGUGACAAGUAAACAUUUUCAUCAGCGGGCACAGUGGCUCCUGCCUGUAAUCCCAAUGCUUUGGGAGGCCAAGGCAGGAGGAUUGCUUGAGCCUAGGAGUUUGAGACCAGCCUGAGCAACAUAGUAAGAACCCCCUCUA
Molecule: small RNA, 909 nt
Filed under: Pongo abelii (Sumatran orangutan)
Lineage: Eukaryota; Metazoa; Chordata; Mammalia; Primates; Hominidae
Description: retained intron
Source: RNAcentral